UUUGAUCCUGGCUCAGAUUGAACGCUGGCGGCAUGCUUUACACAUGCAAGUCGAACGGCAGCGGGGGCUUCGGCCUGCCGGCGAGUGGCGAACGGGUGAGUAAUGCAUCGGAACGUGCCCAUGUCGUGGGGGAUAACGUAUCGAAAGGUACGCUAAUACCGCAUACGUCCUGAGGGAGAAAGCGGGGGAUCGCAAGACCUCGCGCGAUUGGAGCGGCCGAUGUCGGAUUAGCUAGUUGGUGAGGUAAAGGCUCACCAAGGCGACGAUCCGUAGCGGGUCUGAGAGGAUGAUCCGCCACACUGGGACUGAGACACGGCCCAGACUCCUACGGGAGGCAGCAGUGGGGAAUUUUGGACAAUGGGCGCAAGCCUGAUCCAGCCAUGCCGCGUGAGUGAAGAAGGCCUUCGGGUUGUAAAGCUCUUUCGGCCGGGAAGAAAUCGUGUUCUCUAACAUAGGACAUGGAUGACGGUACCGGACUAAGAAGCACCGGCUAACUACGUGCCAGCAGCCGCGGUAAUACGUAGGGUGCGAGCGUUAAUCGGAAUUACUGGGCGUAAAGCGUGCGCAGGCGGUUUUGUAAGACAGAUGUGAAAUCCCCGGGCUUAACCUGGGAACUGCGUUUGUGACUGCAAGGCUGGAGUACGGCAGAGGGGGGUGGAAUUCCACGUGUAGCAGUGAAAUGCGUAGAGAUGUGGAGGAACACCGAUGGCGAAGGCAGCCCCCUGGGCCUGUACUACGCUCUCAC
Molecule: ribosomal RNA, 745 nt
Filed under: uncultured bacterium
Lineage: Bacteria
Description: bacterial SSU rRNA
Rfam family: Bacterial small subunit ribosomal RNA
Source: RNAcentral